AAGAGGUGUAUGAACAACUAGAGCUGCUAACUUCAGUGACUAAAAAUAAAAUUUUUAGACCUCUUA
Molecule: transfer RNA, 66 nt
Filed under: Lacerta bilineata
Lineage: Eukaryota; Metazoa; Chordata; Lepidosauria; Squamata; Lacertidae
Description: tRNA-Ser
Source: RNAcentral